This 492-nucleotide ribosomal RNA is filed under the name uncultured bacterium. RNAcentral describes it as "partial 16S ribosomal RNA". It matches the Rfam family "Bacterial small subunit ribosomal RNA", at positions 29 to 507 of the family's 1533-position model. The record is from RNAcentral.
AGUGAACGCUGGCGGUAGGCCUAACACAUGCAAGUCGAACGGCAGCACAGUAAGAGCUUGCUCUUACGGGUGGCGAGUGGCGGACGGGUGAGGAAUACAUCGGAAUCUACUUUUUCGUGGGGGAUAACGUAGGGAAACUUACGCUAAUACCGCAUACGACCUACGGGUGAAAGCAGUGGAUCUUCGGACCUUGCGCGAUUGUAUUAGCCGAUGUCGGAUUAGCUAGUUGGCGGGGUAAAGGCCCACCAAGGCGACGAUCCGUAGCUGGUCUGAGAGGAUGAUCAGCGACACUGGAACUGAGACACGGUCCAGAAUCCUACGGGAGGCAGCAGUGGGGAAUAUUGGACAAUGGGCGCAAGCCUGAUCCAGCAAUACCGCGUGGGUGAAGAAGGCCUUCGGGUUGUAAAGCCCUUUUGUUGGGAAAGAAAAGCAGCAGGUUAAUACCCCGCUGUUCUGACGGUACCCAAAGAAUAAGCACCGGCUAACUUCGUG